Molecule: non-coding RNA, 108 nt
Organism: Acanthosepion pharaonis
Lineage: Eukaryota; Metazoa; Mollusca; Cephalopoda; Sepiida; Sepiidae
Source: the annotation of a GenBank genome assembly
UUAUGGCCACAUCAUGUUGAAGAACCAGUACCCAUACAAUCACCAAAGUUAAGCAACGUCAAGCCUGGUCAGUACCUAGACGGGUAACUGCUUGGGAAUACCAGGUGC